GCAACGCCGCGUGAGGGAUGACGGCCUUCGGGUUGUAAACCUCUUUCAGGACAGACGAAGCGCAAGUGACGGUAUGUUCAGAAGAAGGACCGGCCAACUACGUGCCAGCAGCCGCGGUAAUACGUAGGGUCCGAGCGUUGUCCGGAAUUAUUGGGCGUAAAGGGCUCGUAGGCGGUUUGUUGCGUCGGGAGUGAAAACCCAGGGCUUAACUCUGGGCUUGCUUUCGAUACGGGCAGACUUGAGGUAUUCAGGGGAGAACGGAAUUCCUGGUGUAGCGGUGAAAUGCGCAGAUAUCAGGAGGAACACCGGUGGCGAAGGCGGUUCUCUGGGAAUUACCUGACGCUGAGGAGCGAAAGUGUGGGGAGCGAACAGGAUUAGAUACCCUGGUAGUCCACACCGUAAACGUUGGGCGCUAGGUGUGGGACACAUUCCACGUGUUCCGUGCCGCAGCUAACGCAUUAAGCGCCCCGCCUGGGGAGUACGGCCGCAAGGCUAAAACUCAGAGGAAUUGACGGGGGCCCGCACAAGCGGCGGAGCAUGCGGAUUAAUUCGAUGCAACGCGAAGAACCUUACCUGGGUUUGACAUAUACAGGAAGCCUGCAGAGAUGUGGGUCUCUUUGAUACUC
Molecule: ribosomal RNA, 626 nt
Filed under: Actinomycetes bacterium
Lineage: Bacteria; Bacillati; Actinomycetota; Actinomycetes
Description: bacterial SSU rRNA
Rfam family: Bacterial small subunit ribosomal RNA
Source: RNAcentral